Non-coding RNA from Schistosoma curassoni, 45 nucleotides. NCBI's taxonomy places the organism in Eukaryota, Metazoa, Platyhelminthes, Trematoda, Strigeidida, Schistosomatidae. The record is from Rfam.
UUCCAGCUGACAAGUCCCAUAUAAAACGAAACGCGCGUCUUGGAU